This 417-nucleotide ribosomal RNA is filed under the name Triticum aestivum (bread wheat). Its description in RNAcentral is "partial small subunit ribosomal RNA". The record is from RNAcentral. Lineage: Eukaryota; Viridiplantae; Streptophyta; Magnoliopsida; Poales; Poaceae.
AUGGUCGUGUGUACAUGUAAUGUAUUUUCAAUUAUGUUUGUGAGACUUUAUACUUUGAAAAGAAUAUGGCUACGUGUAUCAGUCGAUGGAGAGGCAAGGCGGGUGUACCUUCUUUCAGGAAAACGUGUAAUGCAUUCUAGGGGCAGAAUUUUUCAGAUUUGUCUAAAUAUGAAUGAUUUAUUUUAUCCUACGAUCUCACCAAAAGGGCAGAUUCUAUUCUGGUCAUCCCACAAAUCUCUUCUCAUGGGAGCCAGCCGCAGCGGACUAGCCUCCUCCACCGGCGCCGUCGUCUCUUCCUUCUCCACCCUGCAGCAGCAGCAGGACCAAUAUCGUGCUGGUCUGAUUAUCGGUGGUCGUAAUCGAAAGCACAUAUAUCUAUAUUUAUCUAUCGACAUAGGUCCAAAUUUUUAUCCGUAA